CCUACGGGAGGCUGCAGUGGGGAAUAUUGGACAAUGGGGGGAACCCUGAUCCAGCCAUGCCGCGUGUGUGAAGAAGGCCCUCGGGUUGUAAGGCACUUUCAGUGAGGAAGAACGCCUGGUGGUUAAUACCCAUCAGGAAAGACAUCACUCACAGAAGAAGCACCGGCUAACUCCGUGCCAGCAGCCGCGGUAAUACGGAGGGUGCGAGCGUUAAUCGGAAUUACUGGGCGUAAAGCGCGCGUAGGUGGCUUGAUAAGCCGGUUGUGAAAGCCCCGGGCUCAACCUGGGAACGGCAUCCGGAACUGUCAAGCUAGAGUGCAGGAGAGGAAGGUAGAAUUCCCGGUGUAGCGGUGAAAUGCGUAGAGAUCGGGAGGGAUACCAGUGGCGAAGGCGGCCUUCUGGACUGACACUGACACUGAGGUGCGAAAGCGUGGGUAGCAAACAGGAUUAGAUACCCUUGUAGUC
This 465-nucleotide ribosomal RNA is filed under the name Vreelandella stevensii. Its description in RNAcentral is "partial 16S ribosomal RNA". It matches the Rfam family "Bacterial small subunit ribosomal RNA", at positions 338 to 795 of the family's 1533-position model. The record is from RNAcentral. Lineage: Bacteria; Pseudomonadati; Pseudomonadota; Gammaproteobacteria; Oceanospirillales; Halomonadaceae.